This 497-nucleotide ribosomal RNA is filed under the name uncultured bacterium. RNAcentral's name for it is "partial 16S ribosomal RNA". It matches the Rfam family "Bacterial small subunit ribosomal RNA", at positions 28 to 507 of the family's 1533-position model. The record is from RNAcentral.
GACGAACGCUGGCGGCGUGCCUAAUACAUGCAAGUUGAGCGAUGAAGAUUGGUGCUUGCACCAAUUUGAAGAGCAGCGAACGGGUGAGUAACGCGUGGGGAAUCUGCCUUUGAGCGGGGGACAACAUUUGGAAACGAAUGCUAAUACCGCGUAAUAACUUUAAACAUAAGUUUUAAGUUUGAAAGAUGCAAUUGCAUCACUCAAAGAUGAUCCCGCGUUGUAUUAGCUAGUUGGUGCGCUAAAGGCCCACCAAGGCGAGGAUACAUAGCCGACCUGGAAGGGGGAUCGGCCACAUUGGGACUGAGACACGGCCCAAACUCCUACGGGAGGCAGCAGUAGGGAAUCUUCGGCAAGGGACGAAAGUCUGACCGAGCAACGCCGCGGGAGUGAAGAAGGUUGUCGGAUCGUAAAACUCUGUUGGUAGAGAAGAACGUUGGUGAGAGUGGAAAGCUCAUCAAGUGACGGUAACUACCCAGAAAGGGACGGCUAACUACGUG